GGUCAAGCUACUAAGGGCGCAUGGGGGAUGUCUCGGCAUUAGAAGGCGAUGAAGGGCGUGGAAGUCUGCGAAAAGCCCGGGGAAGUUGACAAACGAACGUUGAUCCCGGGAUUCCCGAAUUGACUCGCACUGAAUCCAUAGGUGCGUUGUAGCAAACCCGGUGAACUGAAACAUCUCAUUAACCGGAGGAGCAGAAAGAAAACUCGAUUCCCCGAGUAGCGGCGAGCGAAACGGGAAUAGCCCAAACCGCUGGGGUUUUCCCCGGCGGGGUUGUAGGGCCUUCCACAUGGGAGUUACAAAGUAGCCCGUUAGCAGAACAGCUUGGAAAGGCUGACCACAGAAGGUGACAGUCCUGUAAGCGAAAACGGAGCUACCUCCCGGAGGGUACCUGAGUAGGUCGGGCCACGUGAAAUCCCGACUGAAUCAACGGGGACCAUCCCGUAAGGCUAAAUACUCUCUAAUGACCGAUAGUAAACUAAGUAGGGCGACUGAAAGAUGAGAAGAACCCCUGUUAGGGGAGGAAUGUGAACCUGAAACCAUGCGCCUACAAGCGGUCGGAGGGCUAUGGCAAGCUUGCUUGCAAUGCCUGACGGCGUGCCUUUUGCAUAAUGAUCCGGCGAGUUACCGUCGUUGGCUCGGUUAAGGCCUUCAGGGCCGGAGCCAUAGGGAAACCGAGUCUGAAUAGGGCGAUUUGUCAGCGGUGGUAGACGCGAAACUGCGUGAUCUACCCAUGGGCAGGGUGAAGCGUGGGUUAUACUACGUGGAGGCCCGAACUCACUUGGGUUGAAAACCGAGGGGAUGACCUGUGGGGAGGAGUGAAAGUCUAAUCAAACGCAGAGAUAGCUCGUUCUCUCCGAAAUAGCUUUAGGGCUAGUCUUGAGCCACUACGUUCCGGGGGUAGAGAUACUGAAUUGGACGAAGGCUUUUCCCAAAGUACUUCACCGAACCAAACUCCGAAUACCGGAACGACUAUCUCGGGAAUCAGUCCGCGGGGGAUAAGCUCCGCGGUCAAGAGGGAAACAACCCAGAUCAUCGGCUAAGGUCCCUAAGUCAUGCUCAGUCAAAAAGGAAGUUAGGGUGCUGAGACAGCCAGGAUGUUGGCUUAGAAGCAGCCACCAUUUAAAAAGUGCGUAACAGCUUACUGGUCGAGCAUCCUUGCGCCGAUAAUGAUCGGGAGUAAGCAUGACACCGAAGCCGUGGGUUGAAGGGAUCCUCGGAUCACUUCAGCGGUAGGAGAGCGCUGUACGUCAGAUACGAGUCGUACCGUAAGGAGCGAUGUUGGGGCGUACAGGUGAUUAUGCCGGAAUGAGUAACGAUAAAGCAGGUGAGAAUCCUGCUCGCCGAAAGCCUAAGGGUUCCUGGGGAAGGUAACUCCGCCCAGGGUUAGCCGGUACCUUAGUCGAGGCCGAAAGGCGUAGACGAUGGAGAACGGGUUAAUAUUCCCGUGCCGCAUGUGUGGAGCUAUGGAGGGACGGCGUCCAGAUGGCGAUCAGACGGAUAGAAAUGUCUGUAGGGUAGGUCGAGAUGGCGGGAGAGGCAAAUCCGCCCGCGGAAUUCAAGACCUAAACUCGACUGGCUUGUCCAGGAAGUCGUCGGUAGGACGUCCAAGAAAAUCUUCUAUGCUUUGAAGCACAGCGACCGUACUAAAACUGACACAGGUAGGCGAGACGAGUAGUCUAAGGCGCUCGGGAGAACGGUGGUUAAGGAACUCUGCAAAAUGGCCCCGUAAGUUCGCGAUAAGGGGCGCCUCCGAGGGUGCAAGCUCUUGGGGGCCACAGAAAAUCGGCAUCAGCGACUGUUUAUCAAAAACACAGGUCUCUGCCAACUCGUAAGAGGAUGUAUAGAGACUGACGCCUGCCCGGUGUUGGUAGGUUAAGGAAGUCGGUUAGCGCAAGCGAAGCUGGCGACCGAAGCCCCAAUAAACGGCGGCCGUAACUAUGACGGUCCUAAGGUAGCGAAGUUCCUUGUCGGGUAAGUUCCGACCUGCAUGAAUGGCGUAACGACUGGUGCACUGUCUCAACCACCGACCCGGUGAAAUUGUAGUCGUGGUGAAGAUGCCACGUACCCGCGGUUAGACGGAAAGACCCCAUGAACCUUUACUGUAGGCUGAUAUUGGGCUGAGGUAUGUCUUGUGUAGGAUAGGUGGGAGGCUGUGAAGCGGGAGCGCCAGCUCUCGUGGAGCCAACGUUGAAAUACCACCCUGGAGAUGCUUUAGUUCUAACCCUGAUUCCGUGAAUCCGGACAGGGGACAGUGUCAGUUGGGCAGUUUGACUGGGGCGGUCUCCUCCAAAAGAGUAACGGAGGAGUACAAAGGUGCACUCAGCUUGGUUGGCAAUCAAGCGAAGAGCGUAAAGGUAGAAGUGCGCUUAACUGCGAGACCCAUCAGUCGAGCAGAUACGAAAGUAGGUCUUAGUGAUCCUGUGGUUCCGAAUGGAAGGGCCAUAGCUCAUCAGAUAAAAGGUACUCUGGGGAUAACAGGCUUAUCGCAUCCGAGCGUCCACAGCGGCGAUGCGGUUUGGCACCUCGAUGUCGGCUCAUCACAUCCUGGGGGUGAAGAAGCUCCCAAGGGUUUGGCUGUUCGCCAAUGAAAGUGGUACGUGAGCUGGGUUCAGACCGUCGUGAGACAGGUCGGUCCCUAUCUGCCGUGGGCGCACGAAACUUGAGGGGGUUCAACUUUAGUACGAGAGGAUUUAGUUGGACGUAGCUCUGGUGUACCAGUUGUCGCGCUAGCGGCAUGGCUGGAUAGCUAACUACGGAACGGAUAAACGCUGAAAGCAUCUAAGCGUGAAGCUUGCCCCAAGAUUAGGUUUCGUAAGUGCUAUCGCACGAAAGUCCCCUGGAAGACGACCAGGUUGAUAGGCCAGAUGUGUAAGCACCGUAAGGUGUUGAGCUAACUGGUACUAAUGGACGAAAGCUUGACCAC
This 2923-nucleotide ribosomal RNA is filed under the name Planctomycetota bacterium. Its description in RNAcentral is "23S ribosomal RNA". It matches the Rfam family "Bacterial large subunit ribosomal RNA". The record is from RNAcentral. Lineage: Bacteria; Pseudomonadati; Planctomycetota.